RNAcentral lists this long non-coding RNA (1491 nucleotides) under Struthio camelus australis. RNAcentral describes it as "lncRNA (ENSSCUG00000010520.1)". Lineage: Eukaryota; Metazoa; Chordata; Aves; Struthioniformes; Struthionidae. The record is from RNAcentral.
GGGCGGAGCGGGGCCGCCCGGCCGGCCCGGCGCUGUGACGUCUGCUCUCUGGCCCUAGGCGUGCGCAUGCUGGAUGGGGAGGUGACUGAUGCUGUGGAGGCCCAUUCCCUCGGCCUCAAUCCCAACCACAUCCACAUCUACAGUGCCAGCUGGGGCCCCGAGGACGACGGGAAGACGGUGGACGGCCCGGCCCGGCUGGCAGAGGGGGGCUUUUUUCGCGGGGGGAGGCGUGCUGCGGCAGGGCCGGGGCGGCUGCUGCUCUCCCUCAGGCCUGCCCUGGCGCUUCUGGGCAGCUGGGUUGUCCUGGCUCUCCCUGAUGAGUUAUCUCUCACCCCGUCUCUGCAAUCAGGCGCUGUUGGUUUUUCCGGUUCUUCCUGUGUGAUGGCUCUGAGUCAUGGCUCUUCCAGUGCUUAUCUCGCCUUUCUGAGCAGCCCCGAGUCCUCCCUGCUCAGAAAGCUCCCGCAAGCCCGGCGCUGGGCCUGUCUCUCCCCGCUCCGUGAAUCCCUGUGCUGGUUCCUGUCUCUCGAUUCACGCCAGCAGCUCACCCUCACUCCUGCUGCCCGUCCUCCCUCCCCGCUCUCCUUGCCCACUGUCAGUUCAGUUUGUGCCUUGGCUGAGCUGUGAUGCAGCCUGCGUGGUUCGUCUGCGCUGCCUGUCUCUGCCUGGGGUUCCCCGCACGGAAGUACGUGUGCGCUGUGCAAGGCGAGGCUGGCAGCCCACCCCGUUGGGCCACAGCACCCGCUCACGAGCCGCCGAUCCAGCACCGUUUUAUGGAGCUCUUGCAGGGCUGCCAGGCAGCUGCGAAUUCCACACAAAUACAAACCCCCCAAAGUCAGCCACUCCUACGGCUACGGCCUGCUGGAUGCUGGGGCCAUGGUGAGCUUGGCCAAGAACUGGACCACGGUGGGACCUCAGAGGAAAUGCGUCAUCGACAUCCUCGCAGAGCCGAAGUAAGGGCUGGUGAGCCCAGGUGGACAUUGCCCAGCGCCAGCUGCGUGCACAGCUCCACGCGGGAGCCAGGCUGCGGAAGCUCUUGGCCCCAGGGCAGGGAGCAGGGAGGAUCUUGUGGUCCUGAACUCGGCAUCCAGUGGGCCACCACGUCAGGAGGGCUUGGGAAGGGCUGGAAAAGCUGCCUUCAGCUUGGUUUCUGGGAGGCACCAGAGCUUCCCUGCUCCUGCUCCGGCUGGGCAGGGCGUAGCGGGGACACGUCCAGACUGCGACAGUGUGGUUUUGGGAGCAGCAAGUGUGAGUCCUCAGACAGAGGCACUUUUCAGGGGUCAGACAGAAGCUCCUUCUUCUCCUGCUUGGCCGCAGCCUCAGUGCAGCGUUUGUGCCGUGUCUCAUGUGGCUGUGACUGGGGCGCUCUCUGGGAGCUCCCGUCCCGCGCGGGGAAGGCGUCCCUGGGCACCGCGGGCGCCAGCUCUGCCUGGUGCCCUGCCCUGCUCCCCCGGGACCCCCGCCGCGGCAGCAGGACAGACAGACGAUCCUCGU